This 478-nucleotide ribosomal RNA is filed under the name uncultured bacterium. Its description in RNAcentral is "partial 16S ribosomal RNA". It matches the Rfam family "Bacterial small subunit ribosomal RNA", at positions 28 to 523 of the family's 1533-position model. The record is from RNAcentral.
GACGAACGCUGGCGGCGUGCUUAACACAUGCAAGUCGAACGGUAAGGCCCUUCGGGGUACACGAGUGGCGAACGGGUGAGUAACACGUGGGUGAUCUGCCCUGCACUUCGGGAUAAGCCUGGGAAACUGAGUCUAAUACCGGAUAGGACCCUGGGAUGCAUGUCCUGGGGUGGAAAGCUUUUGCGGUGUGGGAUGGGCCCGCGGCCUAUCAGCUUGUUGGUGGGGUGAUGGCCUACCAAGGCGACGACGGGUCGCCGGCCCGAGGGGGUGACCGACCAAACUGGGACUGAGAUACGGCCCAGACUCCUACGGGAGGCAGCGGUGGGGAAUAUUGCACAAUGGGCGCAAGCCUGAUGCAGCGACGCCGCGUGAGGGAUGACGGCCUUCGGGUUGUAAACCUCUUUCAGCACCGACGAAGCGCAAGUGACGGUAGGUGCAGAAGAAGGACCGGCCAACUACGUGCCAGCAGCCGCCGUAA